This 497-nucleotide ribosomal RNA is filed under the name uncultured bacterium. RNAcentral's name for it is "partial 16S ribosomal RNA". It matches the Rfam family "Bacterial small subunit ribosomal RNA", at positions 28 to 507 of the family's 1533-position model. The record is from RNAcentral.
GAUGAACGCUGGCGGCGUGCCUAAUACAUGCAAGUCGAGCGAACAGACGAGGAGCUUGCUCCUCUGGCGUUAGCGGCGGACGGGUGAGUAACACGUGGAUAACCUACCUAUAAGACUGGGAUAACUUCGGGAAACCGGAGCUAAUACCGGAUAAUAUAUUGAACCGCAUGGUUCAAUAGUGAAAGACGGUUUUGCUGUCACUUAUAGAUGGAUCCGCGCCGCAUUAGCUAGUUGGUAAGGUAACGGCUUACCAAGGCAACGAUGCGUAGCCGACCUGAGAGGGUGAUCGGCCACACUGGAACUGAGACACGGUCCAGACUCCUACGGGAGGCAGCAGUAGGGAAUCUUCCGCAAUGGGCGAAAGCCUGACGGAGCAACGCCGCGUGAGUGAUGAAGGUCUUCGGAUCGUAAAACUCUGUCAUUAGGGAAGAACAAAUGUGUAAGUAACUAUGCACGUCUUGACGGUACCUAAUCAGAAAGCCACGGCUAACUACGUG